CUCGAAAUUCAUUCAUCUCGAAAUUGAUCACGUAUAGCCGAGAAAGAGAAUUAAGCUUGAAUUAAGCAAGUAACUAAUGACAUGCAAUCAAAUUUAAACCUUCUAACAUUUCAAACUUCAAAAAACUUAAAACUCAACUCUCUGCCCUAACUUGAUUCAUCUCGAAAUUGAUCACUGAAUACACAUUGAUGAAGGUGAGUAUAGACGAGAAAGAGAAUUAAGCUUGAAUUAAGCAAGUAACUAAUGACAUACAAUCGAAUUUAAACCUUAUAACCUUUCAAACUUCAAAAAACUUCAAACUCAACUCUCUGCCCAAACUUGAUUUAUCUCGAAAUUGAUCACCGAAUACAGAUCGUUGAAGGUUAGUAUAGCCGAGAUAGAGAAUUAAGCAUGAAUUAAACAAGUAACUAAGACAUGCAAUCAAAUUUAAACCUUCUAACCUUUCAAACUUCAAAAAACUUCAAACUCAACUCUCUGCUCUACUUGAUUUGUCUCAAAACUGAUCACUGAAUACACAUAGCUGAAGGUAGUAUAGUCAUAUUUGUGAAGAAAAUUGUGAGUAAGAAGUGGCGAGAGAAAAUUGCAGCGGCGAGAGAAAAUUGGGAGCGAAAGAUGAAAAGGAUGAAGUGAAUUUAAUUUAAUUCUGCCAAAUUGUCAUAUAUGGUUAAAAAAAUAAUGUUGACAAAUGUGGUAAAUAUUUUUUAAAAAGUAUACACCUAAGUGAUUUUCCCAUU
Molecule: long non-coding RNA, 734 nt
Filed under: Solanum tuberosum (potato)
Lineage: Eukaryota; Viridiplantae; Streptophyta; Magnoliopsida; Solanales; Solanaceae
Description: long non-coding RNA (STUB_LNC008205)
Source: RNAcentral